RNAcentral lists this long non-coding RNA (4600 nucleotides) under Nicotiana tabacum (common tobacco). Its description in RNAcentral is "long non-coding RNA (NTAB_LNC012244)". Lineage: Eukaryota; Viridiplantae; Streptophyta; Magnoliopsida; Solanales; Solanaceae. The record is from RNAcentral.
UUAUAAUAAGUCAUUUAAAGCCAUUAAUUAGAAAAAAUCCCAUAAUAUAAGUUAAAAUAAACAGUGCGGAAACAUAACAUAACUCGACAUCGGGAUGUCACUAGUCAUGGGCAACUACAACUCAUCUUGGAAUAAGAAAGGACAACAUAGUCUGAAAAACAAAUGCUAAUACAAAGCUGAAUAAGAUAGGAAGGAGAAGCACUGGGUUGCGAACGCCAAACAGCUACCUAGUCAACUCCGGAGACCUACUGGAAGGCUGAUCAGCAUCGCGACCCUAGACUCCUAGAUCUGCACACAAGGUGCAGGGAGUAAUGUGAGUAUGCCAACUCAGUAAGUAAUAAAAGUAAAGGCAGCUGAGCAGUAAGAAAAUAUGUAAACCACGUCAUAACGCUACAGCAAAACAGUAUAAGUCCUAAACAAUGCAGUCAAGCAAUAAAACUCGUAAAACAACUCGGUUCAGUGAAACCUUUUAAAACAUCUUUCAAGAGUUUUAAACGAGUGAUGAAAACAGUGAGUAAAAGGAUAAAAAUGUAAACAGCCCCUCGGGCAAAACAUGUACCAUAACCGUCCCUCGGGCAAAAUACUCACAAAACCAACCCCUCGGGCUACCUUACAGUCACUCGUAAUCAACCCCUCGGGCAACAACAUGAAACAACAACAGUCCCUCGGGCAAUAUCACAUCUCACACUGGGUACCCACGCUCACUAGGGAUGUUCAGAUUCCGGAGGGGCUCCUACAACCCAAGUGCUAUCAUAAGCCAUCUCGUGGCAUAACAAAUCAGGCCAUCGGCCUCUCAUAUAUCAUAAAUCAAUACACAUGCUGCGAUACGCAACCCGAUCCCAUGAUAUCCUCAAAAUACAGGCAUUUGGCCUCACUCAGUCAGAAAUCUCUCAAGCCACUCGGGCCACAAUAAAACAGAUGCUCAGCUCAAAAUAUCAUUUAAAAAUAUCAAAACGAAGUAAAUACGACUGAGUUAUGAAAAUAGUAGAAUACAACAUGACUGAGUAUAGAUNNNNNNNNNNNNNNNNNNNNNNNNNUUAUACCCUCAGGACAACAUUUACAAUCAUUACUUACCUUAAUCCGGUCCAAACUCUAGCCCGCGAUGCCUUUGCCUAUUGACUCGGCCUCUGAAUGCUCCAAAUCUAACCAAAAACAUAUUCAUAUCGUCAAAAUAUGCUAAGCGAACAAAGCCAACUCGAAAAUAACUAAUCUACAUAAAAAAAAUCCCGAAAUUAACCAAAUCUGACCCCCGGGCCCACGUCUCGAAUUCUACUAAAAAUACUAAACUAGAAUCCUUACACUCUCACGAGUUCAUACAUACCAAAUACAUCAAAAUAUGACCACAAACGACCCCUCAAAUCCCUAAAUCAAAGUCUCCAAUUUCAAACACUAAACCCCUAAUUUUUAAACCACUAAUUUCCGUAGAUUCCAUGUCUAAUCAGUGAAUAACACCAUAGAAACGAGUUUUAUUUCCAAGAAUCUUACCUCCACGAAGUUCCGUUGAAUUCCCUCUUCAAAAUCUCCUAAAAAGCUCCCAAUCCAACUUAAAAAUGGUGAAACAAAGCUGAAAAUCGCGAAGGAAACCUUAUAAAGGCUCUGGCCUAGGGAUUCCGCACCUGCGGUCUCAAACACGCACCUGCGGUCCAACGGGUCGCACCUGCGGAAGUCACUUAUCCGCCCAAAACCGCAUUUGCGGUCAAAUACCCACACAUGCGCCAUCGCAGGUGCACUCAGCUCUCUGCUUCUGCGGCUCCUACCCUUCACACUCUUGGUCGCAUCUGCGGCCCUUACUACGCUUCUGCGUUGUCGCACCUGCGGUCCCUAAUCUGCAGGUGCGGAAACAACAGGAGCAGAGAAUUCUACAGCUACUCCAAAAAUCCAAACUCUCUAUCAACCAUCCAAAUCCAUCCCGAGGCCCUCAAAACCUCAACCAAACAUGCCAACAAGUCGCACAACACUAUAAAAACUUGUUCCAACCCUUGGAACACUCAAAACAACGCCGGAACACCAAAUCACCCUCGGAUUCAAGCCUAUGAAUUCCAAAACUUCUAAAUUCUGCUUUCGAUCAAAAAGUCUAUCAAACCUCGUCCGAAUGACCUGAAAUUUUGCACACACGUCACAAAUGACAUCACGGGCCUACUCUAAUUUCCGGAAUUCCAUUCUGACCCUUAUAUCAAAAUCUCCACUACCAACUGAAAACGCCAAAAUUCCAAUUUCGCCAAUUCAAGCCUAAAUCUACCCCGGACCUCCAAAACCCAUUCCGAUCACGCUCCUAAGUCCCAAAUCACCUCCCGAAGUUAUUCGAAUCAUAAAAACCAAAUUCCGAGAUCGUUUACUCACAAGUUAACUUCCGGUUUACUUUUCCAACAAAAAGGCUAACUUAAGAGACUUAGUGUAUCAUUUAUCUACUAAACCACACCAAACCCAAACUAACCAACAUGAUGCGAUGAAAUACAGCUGAACAAGAUAUACAGAAGCAGAAAUGGGUGAAACGGAACGGUAACUCAUGAAACGAUCGGUCGGACUUAUUAUCUUGAUUUACAUUAAAGUUUCUUUUCUCUUUGCUUUGCUUUAGGGAUAUAAGAAUUGUACAUUAAAAAACAUUUUAAGGCAACAUACAUUUUUAAAACAAAAUUACAAAGUACAAAUUAUAAAUUACAAUUCACAGAAUAGAUUGAAACAAUUGUUUACUAUAGAAAAUAUAAUUACAAUUUACAGAAUAGAUUGAAACAAUUAUUUACUAUAGAAAAUAUUGUCACACCUCCUUUUUUACCUACACCCCCAGAAGGUGUAUAAGUGAGUUUUUUUCAACUUAAAGUGACAAUCGAAACGGAAUUAUUUAUUAAAAAUUCAGAGUCGCCACUUGGGAUAAUUUAUGGUGUCCCAAGUCACCGGUUUAAAAUCCCGAAUCGAGGAAAGAUUGACUCUGUAUUACAAUCCGCGAACCAAAAAUCCGAGUAAGGAAUUCUGUUAAUCCGGAAGAAGGUGUUAGGCAUUCCCGAGUUCCAUGGUUCUAGCACGGUCGCUCAACUGUUAUUAUUGGCCUACUUACUUGAUUUUAAUACAUGUUUUAGCCUAUGGUUCAAUUUCAAACUUUAUAACCACUUUUAAUUAUUUUUAAGGAAAAAUUGACGUCAUCUAAAACACGUCUUGAACCACGUCACAUAAAUGCACCCGUGAUCCACGACAUAUUUUAUCUAACGUUGUUGAGAUUUGGAUUUGGGUCACAUAAAUGCACACCUGAAUUUGAAAAUUAGGCAUCGUAACUAUGUCACUAGAACCGUACCCAUAAUCACGAUGGUUUAUUUUAUUAACAAAAUUAAAUUAUAGCUGAGUCACAUAAAUGUACCCUGGGUUUUUAGAAAUUAAGUGUCAUGACCACGUCACAGGAACCAUACCCGUAGCUAUGACAAUUUAUUAUUAAUCGCACCUAAAACAAACUAAUGAAGAGGCACAUCGCGAUUGGAUACAUCUCUCGUCGACCAAUUUCAACCGAAAUAGCAUCAGCCUUAGCAAACAAGAAUAAGCAAAAACAAAACGAAAACAACUUCCUAUAAACAAGCCAACCGUACAUAUGGAAAUUAAAUCUAUUAACUAUGGUAUCUCAUUUACACAGACAAGUAAUACACUAAAUGCUAUAAUUAUGUUUAGUCUUAGAAAAUAUAGUCCAUAAGCUAUUAACUAUACAUUCUCUUCUGAAAAAAUUGAUUUAUUGUGGUUAAGCAAAUCCUUAAACAAAUUUAUAAGCCAUGUCCAGUAUUUGCACUCUCCAUUAGUGAUGUUAAUAAUUUUAUUUCUUUCUUCAGAGCAAAGUGUCGAAACAGAGCAUGUCAAAGAAAAUUAGGUACUUGUCAAAUUUUCCCAAUUUCACAACUAGACUAGUUCAGUCAAAUACGCCAAACAAAUGGAAAAUCAGUAAAAUUCACGAGAAAAUUGCAUCACAGACUAGUAUAUAAACUAGCUCACAAACACCUUCCGUUAAUGAAAUAAAUAGGAGUAAAAAGAUGAACCUGUCAAAACUUUCAAUUAAAUCUUUGGUGAAUUACAUCAGUUAAAAUAAGCGACGACGGCAAAAUACGACCGGAAAACUCGAAUAGCAAUUCCACAAAAUCAAACACCCUCCACGGCUUUCAAAUCGAUACCCAUAGUUGGACGGGUCUGGACUACGCUGAACGAGUGAUGGAGAAAUGACUGCGUUUGUCUAUCUCGGAAAGGACCGAAAGUGAGAGUAACAAAUUGGACUUGAAACUUCUCAGAGCUUACAACAAAGAAGAAAAGGAUGGUGGGUUUUUGCUGUUUCCAAAUUCCGAUUUUGGACUUAAGCACUUCGAAGCCAAUUGAGCAAAGCUUCCCAAAGACCCUUGGCUAACGCGAGGUCGAAAACGAGAACGAGAGAAAUAUGUAAAGAUGUCAAUAUAGUCGAUCUCUCUCUCUCUUACGCACACAAUGUUGCUAUCGAUCUUUCUUUGUUCAAUUGAACCUUAGGGAUAUUUUUAGUACUAAAUCUGAGAAUCGUCUAUCCCCUUUGCCAAAAAUGGAGAUGGCUUUUCUUUAUGGUGUAGCUGCUGAUAUAUUUUUUUGGGGUCUACCUUUAUUUUAG